CUCCGAUUGGGUCAUUGGUUGAUCGCAUAGUUUGGGACUAUGAUUAAGGGUGUUCGAUUCACUCAUUGGAGAC
RNAcentral lists this transfer RNA (73 nucleotides) under Erwinia phage pEa_SNUABM_12. RNAcentral describes it as "tRNA-Pro". RNAcentral also lists the same sequence under 1 other name. The record is from RNAcentral. Lineage: Duplodnaviria; Heunggongvirae; Uroviricota; Caudoviricetes.